Molecule: ribosomal RNA, 171 nt
Filed under: uncultured bacterium
Lineage: Bacteria
Description: partial 16S ribosomal RNA
Rfam family: Bacterial small subunit ribosomal RNA
Source: RNAcentral
CUAGUAAUCGCGGAUCAGCACGCCGCGGUGAAUACGUUCCCGGGCCCUUGUACACACCGCCCGUCACACCAUGGAAGUCUGCAAUGCCCGAAGCCGGUGGCCUAACCACUUAUGUGGAAGGAGCCGUCUAAGGCAGGGCAGAUGACUGGGGUGAAGUCGUAACAAGGUAGC